Non-coding RNA from Ictidomys tridecemlineatus (thirteen-lined ground squirrel), 770 nucleotides. The record is from RefSeq and is a predicted model, not a curated record. NCBI's taxonomy places the organism in Eukaryota, Metazoa, Chordata, Mammalia, Rodentia, Sciuridae.
CAGCUCUGGAGGAAGCGGAAGCGUGACGGGGCUUCUGGCUGAUUUCUACAUGUCCUUCCUCUCUGGGCCUGACUGGUCCCAAAGGUCACUCUGGAUCUCAAUAGCUGGUCCAGGGCAGGGGCUAAGGGGCCUGGCCUCUGGAGCCCUCGGCUUUCCCAUUUCACCCGUCUCGAAACCGCGGUGAACUACGGGGGCUUUGUGAAUUGCACUGUGCUGUUCUCGUUCACACGCAUCCGCAUCUUUAAUCAACAGGCAAAUCUGCCAACCUUAGAAGCUGACCACAUUCCUGGGACCAUGGUGCACUCCUUCCAUUGUCAAAAUCAGCAACAUGUGGCCAAGUUCUUCUCCUGCUAUCCUGUCCCUGGUCCUCUUCUCUGCCUCUCUAAUCCACUUUUAAUGAUUCUUUGGAUUAUGUUGGGUUAAUCUGAGUAAUUCUGGGUCAGGAACCAAGUUCUACAGCUGGUUCUAUGUCUUGCUGGGUCCAUGUUUCUGCUGCUCCCCCAUCUCCACCUUCUCUGCCUUGACUCAGAGCUCACUGUUGCUCCUGCUGGAGUUGGUCUCCUACCUACAUUCUGAACCUUCCCUAAUAAAUCUUUCCCACUACUCAGGUGGGACCUCGUCACUUGGGGCCUGCCCUCAGUAGGUCCCUGUUUUCUGUGUCGCCGUCUUCUGUUUGUCUGGCUUUCUCUCCUCCUAGAGGUGCGAGCUCCUUCUUCCCCAGCACUCAGUGCCAGGCCUGGUGCCCACUGGAUGCUCCAUAAAUAUUUGUU